GGCAGUUCUGAAAUAUUUUUUUGGAUGAUGUAUAUGAUAGACACAUUUGGAAACAGAAUUUUCUCUUUUUUCUUUUUACUAAUGCAAGCUUUACUAUACUUACAGUUUCCACCUGAAGAACUUAGUAAACUGACAUAUGGACCAAAAAAUUUUUAUUGGAGGGUUUGUGAUUCCAAAAUGGAUCAAAUGGUACCUCUAAAAUAGAUCAAGAACUCCUGGAAUUUUAGUGGGUGG
RNAcentral lists this long non-coding RNA (234 nucleotides) under Macaca nemestrina (pig-tailed macaque). Its description in RNAcentral is "lncRNA (ENSMNEG00000046087.1)". The record is from RNAcentral. Lineage: Eukaryota; Metazoa; Chordata; Mammalia; Primates; Cercopithecidae.